RNAcentral lists this ribosomal RNA (205 nucleotides) under Pseudomonas protegens. RNAcentral describes it as "partial 16S ribosomal RNA". It matches the Rfam family "Bacterial small subunit ribosomal RNA", at positions 77 to 284 of the family's 1533-position model. Lineage: Bacteria; Pseudomonadati; Pseudomonadota; Gammaproteobacteria; Pseudomonadales; Pseudomonadaceae. The record is from RNAcentral.
UACUUGUACCUGGUGGCGAGCGGCGGACGGGUGAGUAAUGCCUAGGAAUCUGCCUAGUAGUGGGGGAUAACGUCCGGAAACGGGCGCUAAUACCGCAUACGUCCUACGGGAGAAAGUGGGGGAUCUUCGGACCUCACGCUAUUAGAUGAGCCUAGGUCGGAUUAGCUAGGUGGUGAGGUAAUGGCUCACCAAUGCGACGAUCCGU